Molecule: ribosomal RNA, 1893 nt
Filed under: Chloroflexota bacterium
Lineage: Bacteria; Bacillati; Chloroflexota
Description: Chloroflexi bacterium partial 23S ribosomal RNA
Rfam family: Bacterial large subunit ribosomal RNA
Source: RNAcentral
AGAAGCAAACCCAGGGAAGUGAACCAUCUCAGUACCUGGAGGAAGAGAAAACAACAGUGAUUCCGCUAGUAGCGGCGAGCGAACGCGGAACAGCCUAAACCAUGGGGGCAUGCUCUCAUGGGGUCGUGGGAUCAGAGUUAGGAGUUACAAAAGCUCAGGUUAGCGGAACGGUUUGGAAAGGCCGACCAUAGAACGUGAUAGUCGUGUACGCAAAAACUUAGAACUCUCCGUUAUGCUUUGGCACCCGAGUAAUGCGGGACACGAGGAAUCCUGCAUGAAUUCGCCGGGACCAUCCGGUAAGGCUAAAUACUCCGAAGUGACCGAUAGUGAACCAGUACCGUGAGGGAAAGGUGAAAAGAACCCCGGUGAGGGGAGUGAAAUAGUACCUGAAACCGUGUGCUUACAAGCAGUGGGAGGUCAAGGUUCGUCCUGACUGACCGCGUGCCUUUUGCAUAAUGAGCCGGCUAGUGAAUGUCACAGGCAAGGUUAAACGAUAAGUGAGCCGAAGCGAAAGCGAGUCCUAAUAGGGCGUCUAGUCUGUGGUAUUCGGACGUGAAGCGAGAUGAUCUAUGCAUGGCCAGGCUGAAGCGUGGGUAACACCACGUGGAGGGCCGAACCAGUUUGGGUUGAAAACCAUUUGGAUGAGCUGUGCAUAGGGGUGAAAGGCUAAUCAAAUUUCGUGAUAGCUCGUUCUCGCCGAAAUAGCUUUAGGGCUAGCCUCGGAUGAAUCGUCACGGUGGUAGAGCUCUGAAUGGGCUAGGGGCCUCACAAGGUUACCGAACCCAAUCAAACUUCGAAUGCCGUGCACGUAUAUCCGGGAGUCAGACUACGGGGGCUAAGCUCCGUGGUCGAGAGGGAAACAGCCCAGACCGACAACUAAGGUCCCUAAAUCGUAGUUAAGUGGAAAAGGAAGUAGGGAAGCACUGACAGCCAGGAGGUUGGCUUAGAAGCAGCCAUCCUUUAAAGAAAGCGUAAUAGCUCACUGGUCAAGCAGCCCUGCGCCGACAAUAUAACGGGGCUUAAACUACGUACCGAAGUUUCGGAUUGUCGAGUUGCGAAUUGCGAAUUGCGGAUUACGGAUCUGAACCAGAGACUCAGAUUCCAGAUUCGCAAUUCGAAAUCCGCAAUUCGACGAUGGUAGGCGAGCAUUCCGUAGCUGUGAAGCGGUACCGUAAGGGCCGUUGGAGCGAUCGGAAAAGACUCUGUCGGCAUAAGUAGCGAUAACGCGGGUGAGAACCCCGCGCGCCGUAAACCUAAGGUUUCCUGAGUAAAGUUAAUCUGCUCAGGGUUAGUCGGUACCUAAGGCGAGGCCGAAAGGCGUAGUCGAUGGAAAUCCGGUUAAUAUUCCGGAACCACUAACGUGUGCUGUGGGAGGACGCAGUAGGGUAGGCGAGACGGCGUAUGGAUGUGCCGUUGAACUCACCAUAGCCCGCCGACCAGGCAAAUCCGGUCGGCAUCAGGGUAAAGGUAGGGACGAAAGUAGGGGUAAAACCCGAAAAAAGUCGCUGACCCCAGCUGCCAAGAAAAUUCUCGUUCAGCUAUACACGCGACGUGACCGUACCGCAAACCGACACAGGUAGGUGGGGUGAGAAUCCUAAGGCGCUUGUGAGAACUCUCGUUCAGGAACUCGGCAAACUGACCCCGUAACUUCGGGAGAAGGGGUGCCGUCCUCCGGGACGGUCGCAGAGAAAUGUCCCAGGCGACUGUUUACUAAAAACACAGGUCUCCGCAAAGUCGUGAAGACGACGUAUGGGGGCUGACGCCUGCCCAAUGCUGGAAGGUUAAGAGGAGCGGUUAGCCGCAAGGCGAAGCUGCGAAUCGAAGCCCCAGUGAAUGGCGGCCGUAACUAUAACGGUCCUAAGGUAGCGAAAUUCCUUGUCGGGUAAGUUCCGA